UACGUAGGGUGCAAGCGUUAAUCGGAAUUACUGGGCGUAAAGCGUGCGCAGGCGGUUUUGUAAGUCUGUCGUGAAAUCCCCGGGCUCAACCUGGGAAUUGCGAUGGAGACUGCAAGGCUAGAAUCUGGCAGAGGGGGGUAGAAUUCCACGUGUAGCAGUGAAAUGCGUAGAGAUGUGGAGGAACACCGAUGGCGAAGGCAGCCCCCUGGGUCAAGAUUGACGCUCAUGUACGAAAGCGUGGGGAGCAAACAGG
Molecule: ribosomal RNA, 253 nt
Filed under: uncultured bacterium
Lineage: Bacteria
Description: partial 16S ribosomal RNA
Rfam family: Bacterial small subunit ribosomal RNA
Source: RNAcentral